UUAAUAUGCUUGAACACUCAACGGUAACAAAGAUCCGCUGCAACUUCACAUAGCUUUGAAAACCCAGUCAGAUGGAAGUCGUGAUCAUGUCAUCAUGAAGAGCAAAGAUCUUUUCCCUUCACUAUCAAUCCUACAGCCAUGAAACAAAGAAAGCCAUGGACCUCCCAGGCGCAAAAGACAAUAAAAU
Hypanus sabinus (Atlantic stingray) is the source of this 187-nucleotide long non-coding RNA. RefSeq lists it as uncharacterized. The record is from RefSeq and is a predicted model, not a curated record. The transcript is spliced from 3 exons. NCBI's taxonomy places the organism in Eukaryota, Metazoa, Chordata, Chondrichthyes, Myliobatiformes, Dasyatidae.